CAAAGUGUAGCUUAUAUAAAGCAUCUGGCCUACACCCAGAAGAUUCCAUAAAACAGUGGCCACUUUGA
This 68-nucleotide transfer RNA is filed under the name Sphaerias blanfordi (Blanford's fruit bat). RNAcentral's name for it is "tRNA-Val". Lineage: Eukaryota; Metazoa; Chordata; Mammalia; Chiroptera; Pteropodidae. The record is from RNAcentral.